GCAUGGCUGUCGUCAGCUCGUGUCGUGAGAUGUUGGGUUAAGUACCCGCAACGAGCGCAACCCCUCGCAUUCAGUUGCCAUCGGGUAAUGCCGGGCACUCUGGAAGGACUGCCAUCGACAAGAUGGAGGAAGGUGGGGAGUGACGUCAAGUCAUCAUGGCCCUUAUGUCCAGGGCGACACACGUGCUACAAUGGCCGGCACAACGGGAAGCGAGUUCGCGAGGACGAGCGGAUCCCUCAAAGCCGGUCGCAGUUCGGAUUGAAGUCUGCAACUCGACUUCAUGAAGCUGGAAUCGCUAGUAAUCGUGGAUCAGCCAAGCCGCGGUGAAUACGUUCCCGGGCCUU
This 344-nucleotide ribosomal RNA is filed under the name uncultured Synergistaceae bacterium. RNAcentral describes it as "bacterial SSU rRNA". It matches the Rfam family "Bacterial small subunit ribosomal RNA", at positions 1043 to 1382 of the family's 1533-position model. Lineage: Bacteria; Thermotogati; Synergistota; Synergistia; Synergistales; Synergistaceae. The record is from RNAcentral.